UACGUAGGGGGCUAGCGUUGUCCGGAAUCAUUGGGCGUAAAGAGCUCGUAGGCGGUCUGUCGCGUCGGAUGUGAAAGCCCGGGGCUUAACCCCGGGUCUGCAUUCGAUACGGGCAGACUAGAGUGUGGUAGGGGAGAUCGGAAUUCCUGGUGUAGCGGUGAAAUGCGCAGAUAUCGGGAAGAACACCCGUGGCGAAGGCGGCUCUCUGGAACGCAACUGACGCUGAGACGCGAAAGCGUGGGGAGCAAACAGG
Molecule: ribosomal RNA, 253 nt
Filed under: uncultured bacterium
Lineage: Bacteria
Description: partial 16S ribosomal RNA
Rfam family: Bacterial small subunit ribosomal RNA
Source: RNAcentral